This 133-nucleotide ribosomal RNA is filed under the name Paludibacteraceae bacterium. RNAcentral's name for it is "partial 16S ribosomal RNA". It matches the Rfam family "Bacterial small subunit ribosomal RNA", at positions 1 to 130 of the family's 1533-position model. The record is from RNAcentral. Lineage: Bacteria; Pseudomonadati; Bacteroidota; Bacteroidia; Bacteroidales; Paludibacteraceae.
ACAACGGAGAGUUUGAUCCUGGCUCAGGAUGAACGCUAGCGAGAGGCCUAACACAUGCAAGUCGAGGGGUAACAGGGGAGCUUGCUCCCGCUGACGACCGGCGCACGGGUGAGUAACGCGUAUGCAACCUGCC